RNAcentral lists this ribosomal RNA (465 nucleotides) under Vreelandella stevensii. RNAcentral's name for it is "partial 16S ribosomal RNA". It matches the Rfam family "Bacterial small subunit ribosomal RNA", at positions 338 to 795 of the family's 1533-position model. Lineage: Bacteria; Pseudomonadati; Pseudomonadota; Gammaproteobacteria; Oceanospirillales; Halomonadaceae. The record is from RNAcentral.
CCUACGGGCGGCAGCAGUGGGGAAUAUUGGACAAUGGGGGGAACCCUGAUCCAGCCAUGCCGCGUGUGUGAAGAAGGCCCUCGGGUUGUAAAGCACUUUCAGUGAGGAAGAACGCCUGGUGGUUAAUACCCAUCAGGAAAGACAUCACUCACAGAAGAAGCACCGGCUAACUCCGUGCCAGCAGCCGCGGUAAUACGGAGGGUGCGAGCGUUAAUCGGAAUUACUGGGCGUAAAGCGCGCGUAGGUGGCUUGAUAAGCCGGUUGUGAAAGCCCCGGGCUCAACCUGGGAGCGGCAUCCGGAACUGUCAAGCUAGAGUGCAGGAGAGGAAGGUAGAAUUCCCGGUGUAGCGGUGAAAUGCGUAGAGAUCGGGAGGAAUACCAGUGGCGAAGGCGGCCUUCUGGACUGACACUGACACUGAGGUGCGAAAGCGUGGGUAGCAAACAGGAUUAGAUACCCUGGUAGUC